Molecule: long non-coding RNA, 409 nt
Filed under: Capra hircus (goat)
Lineage: Eukaryota; Metazoa; Chordata; Mammalia; Artiodactyla; Bovidae
Description: lncRNA (ENSCHIG00000004698.1)
Source: RNAcentral
AAACUAUCAAGAUAUCAGAACAUGAUGCUAGGGAAGGUGAGGCUAGGACCAUGUUGAAGCUGGGAGAGCACAAGGAUGCCAAGGCCCAGAGAAUUACGAGCUGGGUGAGGGGUAAAGUCUUCCUCAAUAGCCCCCUAUCCUAGCUCAGUGCUGUAUCCACUACUCUGAGUUCCAUCCACCCUGGAGAUCUCAAAAGAAAGAGCAUAAACCUGACGGGAAGACAGGUGGUGUGGUUCAGAAGCUCAUCUCCCAUCAAAAUUCAGAAGGCAUUUCCCAGGACUCCCUGACGGUGGCAGUGUUGUUUACAAGUCAGUGACGAGUCCAAGAAAUUGGGCACCUGCUAGGGGAAUGAUUUAAGAAGCAUGGCUUUGUGCUACCAAACUGAGCAAGCAUAUGAUGAGGAAUGAGG